AGAGUUUGAUCCUGGCUCAGAGCGAACGUUGGGGGGAUGUUUUAAGCAUGCAAGUCGAGCGGCAGCAUGGGUGCUUGCACCUGAUGGCGAGCGGCGAACGGGUGAGUAACGCGUAGAUUAUCUGCCUCACAGACUGGGAUAGCCACUGGAAACAGUGAUUAAUACCGGAUAUUGUCCUUCGGGAUGAAAGGCGCGUUUGCGUCACUGUGAGAUGAGUCUGCGUCCUAUUAGCUUGUUGGUAAGGUAAUGGCUUACCAAGGCUUCGAUAGGUAGCCGGCCUGAGAGGGUGAUCGGCCACAUUGGGACUGAGAUACGGCCCAGACUCCUACGGGAGGCAGCAGCUAAGAAUAUUCCGCAAUGGACGAAAGUCUGACGGAGCAAUCCCGCGUGAGUGAUGAAGGCCUUCGGGUUGUAAAGCUCUUUCGGCAAGGAAGAAUAAGGCAGUUAGGAGAUGAACUGCCGAUGACGGUACUUGCAGAAGAAGCACCGACUAAUUACGUGCCAGCAGUCGCGGUAAUACGUAAGGUGCAAACGUUGCUCGGAUUCACUGGGCGUAAAGGGUGCGCAGGCGGCCAAAUAAGUUAGUGGUGAAAUCUUGAGGCUUAACCUCAAGUCUGCCAUUAAUACUGUUUGGCUAGAGUUGUAAUAUAGGCAACGGGAAUUUCUAGUGUAGGAGUGAAAUCUGUAGAUAUUAGAAGGAACACCAAUGGCGAAGGCAAGUUGCUGGGUAACGACUGACGCUAAUGCACGAAAGCUAGGGUAGCGAAUGGGAUUAGAGACCCCAGUAGUCCUAGCCGUAAGCGAUGUAUACUAGUUUCACGGGCUUUUAAUUAGUCUGUGUAACAAAGCUAACGCGUUAAGUGUACCGCCUGGGGAGUAUGCACGCAAGUGUGAAACUCAAAGGAAUUGACGGGGGCUCGCACAAGCGGUGGAGCAUGUGGUUUAAUUCGAUGAUAAGCGAAAAACCUUACCUGGGCUUGAACGUGUAGACAUCACCGAUGAAAGUCGGUUUCCCUUCGGGGUUCUAUGCGAGGUGCUGCAUGGCUGUCGUCAGCUCGUGUUGUGAAAUGUUGGGUUAAGUCCCGCAACGAGCGCAACCCUUGUCCUAUGUUACUAAGUACCCUUCGGGGUACAGGACUCUUAGGAGACUGCCGAGGUUAACUCGGAGGAAGGUGGGGAUGACGUCAAGUCCUCAUGGCCCUUAUGUCCAGGGCUACACACGUGCUACAAUGGAGCGUACAAAGGGAGGCGAGAUCGCAAGGUUAAGCAAACCCCAAAAAACGCUUCUCAGUUCGGAUCGCAGUCUGCAACUCGACUGCGUGAAGUUGGAAUCGCUAGUAAUCACAGAUCAGCAUGCUGUGGUGAAUACGUUCUCGAGCCUUGUACACACCGCCCGUCACACCACCCGAGUUGAAUUCACCUGAAGUCGCCGUAC
RNAcentral lists this ribosomal RNA (1435 nucleotides) under metagenome. RNAcentral describes it as "bacterial SSU rRNA". It matches the Rfam family "Bacterial small subunit ribosomal RNA". The record is from RNAcentral.